Molecule: ribosomal RNA, 301 nt
Filed under: uncultured bacterium
Lineage: Bacteria
Description: partial 16S ribosomal RNA
Rfam family: Bacterial small subunit ribosomal RNA
Source: RNAcentral
CAGUAGCCACGGUAAUACGGAGGGAGCCAGCGUUGUUCGGAAUUACUGGGCGUAAAGCGCACGUAGGCGGAUAUUUAAGUCAGGGAUGAAAUCCCAGAGCUCAACUCUGGAACUGCCUUUGAUACUGGGUAUCUUGAGUAUGGAAGAGGUGAGUGGAAUUCCGAGUGUAGAGGUGAAAUUCGUAGAUAUUCGGAGGAACACCAGUGGCGAAGGCGGCUCACUGGUCCAUUACUGACGCUAAGGUGCGAAAGCGUGGGGAGCAAACAGGAUUAGAUACCCCCGUAGUCCCUGUCUCUUAUAC